AAAUUGAAGAGUUUGAUCAUGGCUCAGAUUGAACGCUGGCGGCAGGCCUAACACAUGCAAGUCGAACGGUAACAGGAAGCAGCUUGCUGCUUCGCUGACGAGUGGCGGACGGGUGAGUAAUGUCUGGGAAACUGCCUGAUGGAGGGGGAUAACUACUGGAAACGGUGGCUAAUACCGCAUAACGUCGCAAGACCAAAGAGGGGGACCUUCGGGCCUCUUGCCAUCAGAUGUGCCCAGAUGGGAUUAGCUUGUUGGUGAGGUAACGGCUCACCAAGGCGACGAUCCCUAGCUGGUCUGAGAGGAUGACCAGCC
RNAcentral lists this ribosomal RNA (312 nucleotides) under Salmonella enterica subsp. enterica serovar Heidelberg str. RI-11-013312. RNAcentral's name for it is "bacterial SSU rRNA". It matches the Rfam family "Bacterial small subunit ribosomal RNA", at positions 1 to 309 of the family's 1533-position model. Lineage: Bacteria; Pseudomonadati; Pseudomonadota; Gammaproteobacteria; Enterobacterales; Enterobacteriaceae. The record is from RNAcentral.